UGGGCGUAAAGCGAGCGCAGACGGUUACUUAAGCAGGAUGUGAAAUCCCCGGGCUCAACCUGGGAACUGCGUUCUGAACUGGGUAGCUAGAGUAUGUCAGAGGGGGGUAGAAUUCCACGUGUAGCAGUGAAAUGCGUAGAGAUGUGGAGGAAUACCGAUGGCGAAGGCAGCCCCCUGGGAUAAUACUGACGUUCAUGCUCGAAAGCGUGGGUAGCAAACAGGAUUAGAUACCCUGGUAGUCCACGCUGUAAACGAUGUCGAUUUGGGGAUUGGGCUUUAAGCUUGGUGCCCGUAGCUAACGUGAUAAAUCGACCGCCUGGGGAGUACGGCCGCAAGGUUAAAACUCAAAUGAAUUGACGGGGGCCCGCACAAGCGGUGGAGCAUGUGGUUUAAUUCGAUGCAACGCGAAGAACCUUACCUACUCUUGACAUCCAUGGAAUCUUGUAGAGAUACGAGAGUGCCUUCGGGAACCAUGAGACAGGUGCUGCAUGGCUGUCGUCAGCUCGUGUCGUGAGAAG
This 518-nucleotide ribosomal RNA is filed under the name uncultured bacterium. RNAcentral's name for it is "bacterial SSU rRNA". It matches the Rfam family "Bacterial small subunit ribosomal RNA", at positions 555 to 1074 of the family's 1533-position model. The record is from RNAcentral.